RNAcentral lists this ribosomal RNA (137 nucleotides) under uncultured eukaryote. RNAcentral's name for it is "partial 18S ribosomal RNA". It matches the Rfam family "Eukaryotic small subunit ribosomal RNA", at positions 1299 to 1458 of the family's 1831-position model. The record is from RNAcentral.
UGGUGGAGUGAUUUGUCUGCUUAAUUGCGAUAACGAACGAGACCUUAACCUGCUAAAUAGCCGGGCUAGCUUUGGCUGGUCGUCGGCUUCUUAGAGGGACUAUCAGCUCAAGCCGAUGGAAGUUUGAGGCAAUAACA